CACACCCAUUAGGACAGAGGGAGGGUAAUAGCAACUUGCAAUGUGAAAUUUGACUAAGUGACAUCAUAAUCUGUCAUCAACAGGGUUGCCAGCAUGAUCCAAGCAGUUCAUUACUGGUAUGGACUCAUGUGGUCGGUUCUGGCAUAUGGUGAAAAGAUUCUGGAAGCAGUUCCUUCCUGUAUUUACAAAUACAGGACAGAAACUUACAUGGAACUGCUUCCAGAAUCUUUUCACCAUUACCUGGAGUCCUGCAGGAAGCAACCAACGAGAAGACGAAGAAGCCACUAUUUUCUAGUGGGAAUGGUGGCUUCUUGCCAUUCAAGAGCAAGAGGUGGAACACACAUUUGAGGAGUUGCUGGUUUUCAUAAUCGGUGCUGACAGCUUGCCACCACUGGGAUUCCCACAGUCCUGCAAUAUAAAUUUUUAUGACCAGGAGGUGGGGAAGCGCCGCAUCCCAUAUGAAUCUACAUGCAGCCUGUGCCUGUUCUUACCAAGGGGUGUUGCAGACGAGGAACUAUUUAAAGAGCUGAUGCACACUGCCUUAAAAGGAUCACUUGGCUUUGGAAAAGCCUAGGCUGCAUUUGCAUCAGAUGUCAAUGCAUUAAAGGCUUAUAUUUGGAUUUUGAGGAAAUCAGUUGUAAAUAUCUUUUCACAUGUUCUUUGUUUGUUUUCUUUAGAGUUGGCAGGAUGUUGUAAGAAUGUAAGACUGUAAAAUUACUUUUAUAUAUGUGUAACACUGGCAGUAAACCUUUUUCUCUUCA
Nothobranchius furzeri (turquoise killifish) is the source of this 761-nucleotide long non-coding RNA. RefSeq lists it as uncharacterized. The record is from RefSeq and is a predicted model, not a curated record. NCBI's taxonomy places the organism in Eukaryota, Metazoa, Chordata, Actinopteri, Cyprinodontiformes, Nothobranchiidae.